GGGGGCGAAUUGGAUUCGACCGGAUAGGUUGAAGUGUGCGUGGCGUGUCGUGGUUGGUCAGUUGGCCACGUUAAAAGCUGACUAAAAUUUAUUUGCCGAGAGCAAUCUCAGCUUGGCUGCCUAGAGAUAGGCCAGUCCCGACUGCGGCCCUUCGCCGGAGAGAGCCAAAAGUCGGUUGCCAAUUCCGGACCGCCGAAGGUCAUCGACCAGUAUCCCUUCGGUUAAACCAGUUCUGAGUCUGGCAAGGCGAAACCGCGUCGGUUCGGGUUCGCCGCGCGACAACAAAUAGUCGACUACACACGUAGAAGCGCCCACGGAAAUGUCUCGGGACGCGGGUUCGAUCCCCGCCGCCUCCACUU
Molecule: transfer-messenger RNA, 359 nt
Filed under: Planctomycetota bacterium
Lineage: Bacteria; Pseudomonadati; Planctomycetota
Also listed under: 1 other name
Description: Planctomycetes bacterium transfer-messenger RNA
Rfam family: transfer-messenger RNA
About the family: Bacterial tmRNA, also known as 10Sa RNA or SsrA, is named for its dual tRNA and mRNA-like properties.
Source: RNAcentral